AAGUCGUAACAAAGCUUCCGUAGGUGAACCUGCGGAAGGAUCAUUAACACGUAUCAAACGUUCAAACAACCCUGUGAAUGACUGGGCUUCCUCUAGUAAAUCAUAGUCUUAACAAGGUUUUGAGUUAGAGGAUGGCGCACGAGUAGCACCUGUAUUGGGUCGAGCGUUUCCAACUAUCCACUCCUGGUGCCCCCAAGCAACCAUCAAUCUGAAAGUGUUUGGUGAAUUGUGCAAGGGCAGCGCAGUCAACGAUCGGUGGUCCACACGGCCAUCGACCGGGGGUCGUUACCUCCCUGUGGGGCCAAGUUCAUUCAGGUUGAACAUGAUGCAUGUCUACCGCGCCCGACGAAAGUCCGACGCACCCCUAACCGAACAACUGUUAACAAUGGAUAUCUUGGUUCUC
Molecule: unclassified non-coding RNA, 403 nt
Filed under: fungal sp.
Lineage: Eukaryota; Fungi
Description: partial internal transcribed spacer region
Rfam family: Eukaryotic small subunit ribosomal RNA (bases 1-46)
Source: RNAcentral